CGCCUCUAGCUAAGACUAAUAUUAGAGGUACUGCCUGCCCAGUGAUAAUAAUUCAACGGCCGCGGUAUUUUGACCGUGCAAAGGUAGCAUAAUCACUUGUCUUCUAAAUAAAGACUAGUAUGAACGGCAAAACGAAGGUCCAACUGUCUCCUUUGCCCACUCAAUGAAAUUGAUCUCCCAGUACAAAAGCUGUGAUUAAACAACAAGACGAGAAGACCCUAUGGAGCUUUAAACACACCAGAAAGUGUAACCAAUAUUUAUUUAAUCCCGCACACCAAUUCUACACUGUUUUUGGUUGGGGCGACCACGGAGAAUAUCCACCCUCCGAGAUGACACACCAGGAAGACAUUCCUAAAUCUCAGAAAACUGGCAUAAUUGACCCAAUAAAUUGAUCAACGAACCAAGUUACCCUAGGGAUAACAGCGCAAUCCUCUUUAAGAGCCCAUAUCGACAAGAGGGCUUACGACCUCGAUGUUGGAUCAGGAUAACCUGACAGUGUAACCGCCGUCAAAGGUUUGUUUGUUCAACAAUUAAAAUCCU
Molecule: ribosomal RNA, 540 nt
Filed under: Ichthyophis cf. tricolor DJG-324
Lineage: Eukaryota; Metazoa; Chordata; Amphibia; Gymnophiona; Ichthyophiidae
Description: partial 16S ribosomal RNA
Rfam family: Bacterial large subunit ribosomal RNA
Source: RNAcentral